Pseudopipra pipra is the source of this 5406-nucleotide long non-coding RNA. RefSeq lists it as uncharacterized. NCBI's taxonomy places the organism in Eukaryota, Metazoa, Chordata, Aves, Passeriformes, Pipridae. The record is from RefSeq and is a predicted model, not a curated record. The transcript has 4 exons.
GGGAACCCCUGCAACAGUGUCGCAGUGUGCUCGCUGCUACAGAGCGCUGUGGAGGCUGCCAGUGCUGUCAGAUGAGGGGGGAAAAUAGACGAGAGAAGAAAAAAAAUACACAUACAGUCAGCAAACAAUGUGAAAAUUUACUGUAGCAUCACAUGGCAGAUAUUAUUUACCUUAUUGUGCAUCAACUGAUGCACACUGUAUCCCAUCUGUGAUGCAGGUAGACACAAAACUUUAUAUCCCACGGCUAAAAAAUACUGCUGUUUUCUAGGUACAGCCAAUCCCUGCUAAACUGGAAUGCACACAAACCCCACGACGUUCCUUAGAGCGGGAGCGUGUCCUCGCCGGUCAGCUGCAACAUCGGGCAGGCAAUGCUGUAGCUCAGGUUACUCAGAGGUUGUCAUCAUCCCAGGAUCAGGUUGAGCAUCUUCUGGAACUGAAUUAUCCCAGGCUUGUCAGAGCUCCCUGGUGCUGCGCGGUGUCCUCGCACGUCACAAGAGGCAACGUCUGCCCCAAGGAACUUAUAAUGAAAAACUGCAGAAUGGGCUGGGAGAAGGGAAUUAAUCAAUGAUUGACUUUCUCUGCAUUAAAUACAGUGUGUAUUUUAGAUGAGCACCAAGAAGCUCCUGCAGAGACUGUGCUCAGCACUGGACAUGGACAUGCCGAGAGGUAGGUCCUGUCCCACAUAGACCCAAAGGGAUGGUUGUGUCCUGGUUUAUACAGACUCUUGGUGGACCCGGCUUAAUGCGUGAGCCAUUCUGGUCAAGGCUGGGAUGGGAAGUUCAUCAGACAGGCAAUGUUUGACGACUCGAGGCCAAAGAAAACUGAUGUUAUGUGCCAAGUAUGGUGAGGGAUGGGGUGGGCAACCAAGAAGGUACUUGUUAUAUUAGGACACAUUCAGGGUUUUUGAGCCUGAAUUUUGCAGCCGAUGUGUCUCACUCUUAUUCCUAAUAUCCUCUCAAACUUCUCCCAAAUAUCUUCUUAACUUCUGGAUACCAUCAGCUGAUGUGGCAGCAAAUGUUCCCAAUUCCUGAGUCUACAUUAGAUGCUUGAAUCAGGACUGUGCUGUUGAGGCAAAUCUCCAGAUUGUACCGAUUUACUGUGGUUUGGUUUGUAUCACAGAUCAGUCUGGGAGUGCAUGAACUGAGCUCUCUUCCAGUGAACCUAAAGCAGUGAGAUCCUCCAGAACAGUCCACAUGAACUUUGGCCACCACUGGGCAUAUAGUCCAUGGGACCCCAUUACAGUUAGCCUGAAACACCCCCACUUCACUGAAACACCUCUGAUGUGGAGAUGGGGUCUUCAGCAUCCACUGGAUCGCUCCAGAAAACCACUCCUCCAAGGCCACAAUUGCUCACUGCUGAGGGCAGAGGAAGAGGGUUUAGGCUUGGAGACAAGCCCAGCCCCUCAGAGCAGGAUGGACAUAACUCACUCUGGCCACAGAGCGCAGCAGCCACCAGCCUAUCUGCAGGCACAGCUAACAAAACAAGUGUAGAUGUAGCCAAAGGACAGUAAAAGUACUCAAAUGUUUUGUGACAAGAAGUCAGGCAGAGAAGGAGAACUCAGUGAUUUCACUGAGGGCAAGUGAUAGCAUAAGCUUAAACCUGAUUAGAAAUCAAAGAACUACAGGAGAGAAAUGCUCAAAUAGCAGAAAAAAAAUUAUAUUUAAAAUAUAUAAAUAAAUAUUUAUAUAAUAUAUAAAUUAUUAGCAGGGCUCUCCUUUCAUAGGACUGCUUCUUGUAUUAUAAAUAACGCAGGAUCUGAAUACAAAUGAAGAUAUCAGUAAGCACAAUUUUGUGGCUGCAGUAGCCAGGGGGUCAGACCAGAAUGAUGCUGAAAUGGUCACUUCUGCCCUUCAAAGUUUCCAAAGUAUACAAUUUUGAGCAGGUGAUUCAAAGUGUAGCAGAUUGUCACAUGCAUGCAGAUGCCAUUAAAAACACACUGAAGAAAUUAAAAGCAAACCCUUCUCUUCUAGUGUUACUAUACAAAUAAUAAAAACACUUGCCAGUCCACUGGAUAAAUAUCCUACAUAUAUACAUAUACAUAUUUUAAAAGAUAUGGGAAGUCCCUGUCACCAUAAUGCUUAAAACCUUAAAAAUUCGAUUCCAACUCUUGAUCUCCAGGAAACUGCAAAUCUCAUGAGGAAAACUUGAGCUGCUUUGUGCUGGCUGUCACCUGGAGCUCAACGCAGCCAGAACCAGUGCUCCAAGAACCCAUUGUUGUGCCUGUGUCCUCAUCCAGCAGCACGGCUGCUGCUCCUUGCACGGACGUCUGCAUGUGGGGAUCUGCAGGGGUAAUCAACCCGUGAAAUGAAACCCAAGUUAUCAUGCCCACACCAUGCUUAACUGUGUAAUUUUAGGUAAAGAACAUAGUUAGCAUUAGGUGUGUGAGGGUUGGGAAUGCAACAGGAAUGUGAAAGUUUUUAUUUUUCUUUUAAUAUGUGUCUAUAAUGCCAGUGUUUCAGUCUCAAAGGAUUUGCCUAUCUGACUGUAGUUAAGAUUGUGAUGUUCCCUCACACAGAUCAUUGGAAUUUCAGCAUUUUCAGGUAUCUUCCCAGACCUAAGAACUCAUGACGUGCUACUUUGUAAGGAGAGGGGAAAAGCAGCAGUUUGCAGCAGACUUCAGUCCCUUCAGAUCAAAGCCCAGGCCUUCUGAUGUGUGUCUGCAGUGCCUAAUGGUGCCUGGUCCAGGCUGGGACUUGUGGUUAUCACUGUAACAACAAAAGCAACUGCAGUGGUGUAUGGCACAGAACCGAUAUAUUUGCUAUUUUUGUUUGUUUUAUAUAUAACUAGCCCAUUUUCUAUGCAAACCAAUUCAGUUCCUGUUUAUAUACCAAACUGCCCACAGCAUGUUUGCUGCCCCUUGUCAUGGCUGUCAUUAUUCCUGGUGAAGAAGACUCUACUGCUCUCACUUUGGAGCUUGUCAACGGCACUGACACCCUGCCAUCCCAGGGCUCUCCAGCUUUGGCACCUUGGAACAGAAGCUGGAAACCAAAGCUAGGUCUUCUGUCUGACUUCUCCCAGGGAUUUUAGCAAGCCAUCAGGAAGAGCAGCAAACAGGCCCCAUUCAGUUCUGCUCUUCCCAUUACCAGUUCAGCUGACACUUAGCCUUGUAGGAAAUUCAUCAGAGAAGGACAAGCAAACUCAUACAUCUAUUUAUUCUCAAGAGGAAUUUCUAAAAAGCAAACCCACAAUGUUUCAGCAUGACUAUAUAUUAAUUAUUUUUUCCAGAGAGCUUGCUAUUGUUUUGCUAUUGAGAAAUACACCUUCAAACAUUGGAUUUGCUCAGUUUUAGAAGCACAACUAUGUUUAUUAUAUUUGGUGCUGUGAAAAGCACUUCUAAGUUGUAUUUUUAUUGAGCUAGACUUUUGUUUCAGACCAAAUCUGAGUUGUUUGUCUAAAAGCUGUUAGUGCCUAGACUGAGAUACUAGCUCAGUAAUUCUAAUAGGAAGUCAUACAGUUUCUUCCUUUGAGUACCUCUGAGUACAGCCCACCUUUUAAAAAGGGAGGAACAAAUUCUCUGUUGGCCCACAAAGGUGCUGUCAUUACUUGAAAUCAUGGAACAGAGUUUGUUCUACUGGGGGUUAACUCAGUAAUUCCAUUUCAUCUUACCAUGCUAGUCUUUCUUCUUAUGCCUGACUGAAUAAAAACCAAUUUUAUCCAAAGCUUCAUAGUUUAAACAUUUUAAAAUAAUUUUUAAAAGUAACACUGAACUAUAUGCUACCUAUAUAUAUGCUCAAAAAGGAUGGGAACAGGACUGCCUGCUCUUCUGGCAUGGUAUCAAUACACUACCUGGCAAUCAACUUUUUUUUGCCACUAACUCCUACAUUCAGUAUUUUCAGGUAAUGUAAUACCAAGGCACUGUUGAUGCACCUUAUCCUGAAGCACUUAAUAAACGAGAGUUAACAGAUGUGAAAUCUGAGGAAGGGUUCAGGGAAAUCUAGGGACUUCCCUGAAAAUUAGGGUUUAUAGACUAUAAUCCCACUGAUGAUAACUGAGUGAUAAAACCCACAUUGUUUGUAUUUAUAAAAAUUCUUGAGUGAUUUCAUUGUUGUCAAAGAAAAAAAAAGCUGCUUUUGUUCAUUGUUGAUACAAAGUCACUCUUGUUGUUGCAGACCAGGCACUUCCUACUUUACCUGGGUAUUUUUAUCCACAGUACUUUGCUGUGUUUGAGAGAUAAGCCCUUACUCCAGACUCUGAAUCACACUUCCCCCUCAGAUUUGGGGAAUGUCAGAUCCAGAUCAGGAUCCAAACUUUCUAGUUUGGGCCUGUCUUUCAUCAUGGUAAAUCAACAGUCGGCAAAUCUAAACAAUAAGUUCGUGUUGAAAUUUGGAUUUUUUUUUAAUUGUACUUCCUUUCUAGCAAACAACAGAGGUUUAUUUUCUUCUCUUCAGGACAGAAAACUGUUUACUCUAUGAUCUUAUUUUUUAAACCGCUGCUUCAUUUGCAGGGGGAAGUCCUAAUGACCUUGCUCACCACACAGCCUGGGAGCUUAUCAAUCAGGACAGGGUUUGGCAGGAAGGCAAGAAAACUCUCCUGCAAUCAGAUCUAUUACCAGAGAUCCCCCUGCCUGGACAGAAGUGUCUUACAGCCACUGAACUCCUGUACUUACAUGUCCUUUUACUUCUAGGUGUAACUGAGGCCUGAAGACUCAAAAUUAGUUCAUAAAUUAAUUUUCUCCUUGUUUUUGUUAAGUAAGAUACAUGUCUUCUGAGCUGCCUGCAAGCUUUGCACACUAAUGAUUAAUUUAAUUUUAAAUAUAUCUUCAAUGACUACCUACAUUUUAAUAUACACUAAGUACUUUGUACAUAAUAUAUGACAGGUCAAAAUGUGAUCACAAACCCAGAUUUUUCCUUUCCAUUACCUUUACAUCUUAGAGAGUUCCCACAGCCAUUCCAUUCUGCCCUGGCACCAACAGAAAUCUUUCCACUGACUGCAGCAGCUGAAGAUCUGACCCUAAACUAGGUAACUGGGCCAGUGCCACAGGGUCUGCUUACUCUGCUAAGUUCCCUGAAUGGUACAUUUUAAAAACUGCACUGAAAUAUGCCCCAGUAAACCUAAAGGAGACACACAGAAAAUCCUGCAAUGGUAUAGCUGCUCUGCCAGGAGGAACUGGUCUGUUCCCUGGUGGGAAAGGAGGCCUUGCUCUCUCUGCCUCCCCCAUGAAGAAGAGUACAGCCUUUUUUCCUCUGUCUCAUUGUUGGCUCCUCUAGCACACUGGUGUACCCAAAAUCCAGCGACACAUUUGAUGCUCAGGAACCCUGAUAACAGAUAUGAUUAGUCAGAGCUAGUUGAUAAAAACGAAAGAAGAAAGCGAAUUUCACUAAAUGCUUACAAUCAUUCACAUGAUGUCGUAGAAAAGCCUCUUAUUAUAUCCAAAGGGUUUGAUACCAGUGUAAAGGCAGAGCAGUA